Molecule: ribosomal RNA, 401 nt
Filed under: uncultured bacterium
Lineage: Bacteria
Description: bacterial SSU rRNA
Rfam family: Bacterial small subunit ribosomal RNA
Source: RNAcentral
AUUGAACGCUGGCGGCAUGCCUUACACAUGCAAGUCGAACGGCAGCACGGGAGCAAUCCUGGUGGCGAGUGGCGAACGGGUGAGUAAUAUAUCGGAACGUGCCCAGUCGUGGGGAUAACGUAGCGAAAGCUACGCUAAUACCGCAUACUAUCUAUGGAUGAAAGCGGGGGAUCGCAAGACCUCGCGCGAUUGGAGCGGCCGAUAUCAGAUUAGGUAGUUGGUGAGGUAAAGGCUCACCAAGCCGACGAUCUGUAGCUGGUCUGAGAGGACGACCAGCCACACUGGGACUGAGACACGGCCCAGACUCCUACGGGAGGCAGCAGUGGGGAAUUUUGGACAAUGGGCGCAAGCCUGAUCCAGCAAUGCCGCGUGCAGGAUGAAGGCCUUCGGUUGGUUAAACG